GGGGAAUAACACCGGGAAACUGGUGCUAAUACCGCAUAACAUCCUCGGUUCGCUCCGAGGAUCAAAGCUGGGGACCGUAAGGCCUGGCGCUUGAAGAGGAGCCCGCGUCCGAUUAGCUAGUUGGCGGGGUAAUGGCCCACCAAGGCUUCGAUCGGUAGCCGGCCUGAGAGGGCGGACGGCCACACUGGAACUGAGACACGGUCCAGACUCCUACGGGAGGCAGCAGUGGGGAAUUUUUGUCAAUGGGGGAAACCCUGAACAAGCAACGCCGCGUGGAGGAUGAAGGCCCUCGGGUCGUAAACUCCUGUCGAUCGGGAAGAAUGCGUCCGGCCUAAUACGCCGGCACGUUGACUGUACCGGUGGAGGAAGCCACGGCUAACUCUGUGCCAGCAGCCGCGGUAAGACAGAGGUGGCAAGCGUUGUUCGGAAUUACUGGGCGUAAAGGGCGCGCAGGCGGCCCGUCAAGUCCCGUGUGAAAGCCCCCGGCUCAACUGGGGAACUGCGCGGGAAACUAGCGGGCUUGAGUUCGGGAGAGGGAAGCGGAAUUCCGGGUGUAGCGGUGAAAUGCGCAGAUAUCCGGAGGAACACCAGUGGCGAAGGCGGCUUCCUGGACCGACACUGACGCUGAGGCGCGAAAGCCAGGGGAGCGAACGGGAUUAGAUACCCCGGUAGUCCUGGCCCUAAACGUUUGAGCACUGGGUGUAGGGGGUGUAAACCCCCCCCUGUGCCGAAGCUAACGCAUUAAGUGCU
Molecule: ribosomal RNA, 750 nt
Filed under: uncultured Acidobacteriota bacterium
Lineage: Bacteria; Pseudomonadati; Acidobacteriota
Description: bacterial SSU rRNA
Rfam family: Bacterial small subunit ribosomal RNA
Source: RNAcentral